RNAcentral lists this ribosomal RNA (1362 nucleotides) under uncultured bacterium. RNAcentral describes it as "bacterial SSU rRNA". It matches the Rfam family "Bacterial small subunit ribosomal RNA", at positions 28 to 1381 of the family's 1533-position model. The record is from RNAcentral.
AUUGAACGCUGGCGGCAGGCUUAACACAUGCUAGUCGAGCGGUAGCACAAGAGAGCUUGCUCUCUGGGUGACGAGCGGCGGACGGGUGAGUAAUGUCUGGGAAACUGCCUGAUGGAGGGGGAUAACUACUGGAAACGGUAGCUAAUACCGCAUAACGUCGCAGGACCAAAGAGGGGGACCUUCGGGCCUCUUGCCAUCAUAUGUGCCCAGAUGGGAUUAGCUAGUAGGUGGGGUAAUGGCUCACCUAGGCGACGAUCCCUAGCUGGUCUGAGAGGAUGACCAGCCACACUGGAACUGAGACACGGUCCAUACUCCUACGGGAGGCAGCAGUGGAGAAUAUUGCGCAAUGGGCGCAAGCCUGGUGCACCCAUGCCUCGUGUGUGAAGAAGGCCUUCGGGUUGUAAAGCACUUUCAGCGAGGAGGAAGGUGGUGAACUUAAUACCUUCAUCAAUUGACGUUACUCGCAGAAUAAGCACCGGCUAACUCCGUGCCAGCAACCGCGGUAAUGCGGAAGGUGCAAGCGUUAAUCCGAAUUACUGGGCGUAAAGCGCACGCAGGCGGUUUGUUAGUCAGAUGUGAAAUCCCCGGGCUCAACCUGGGAACUGCAUCUGAUACUGGCAAGCUUGAGUCUCGUAGAGGGGGGUAGAAUUCCAGGUGUAGCGGUGAAAUGCGUAGAGAUCUGGAGGAAUACCGGUGGCGAAGGCGGCCCCCUGGACGAAGACUGACGCUCAGGUGCGAAAGCGUGGGGAGCAAACAGGAUUAGAUACCCUGGUAGUCCACGCCGUAAACGAUGUCGACUUGGAGGUUGUGCCCUUGAGGCGUGGCUUCCGGAGCUAACGCGUUAAGUCGACCGCCUGGGGAGUACGGCCGCAAGGUUAAAACUCAAAUGAAUUGACGGGGGCCCGCACAAGCGGCGGAGCAUGCGGAUUAAUUCGAUGCAACGCGAAGAACCUUACCUACUCUUGACAUCCAGAGAACUUUCCAGAGAUGGAUUGGUGCCUUCGGGAACUCUGAGACAGGUGGUGCAUGGCUGUCGUCAGCUCGUGUCGUGAAAUGUUGGGUUAAGUCCCGCAACGAGCGCAACCCUUGCCCUAUGUUGCCAGCGGUUCGGCCGGGAACUCAAAGGAGACUGCCAGUGAUAAACUGGAGGAAGGUGGGGAUGACGUCAAGUCAUCAUGGCCCUUACGAGUAGGGUUACACACGUGCUACAAUGGCAUAUACAAAGAGAAGCGACCUCGCGAGAGCAAGCGGACCUCAUAAAGUACGUCGUAGUCCGGAUUGGAGUUUGCAACUAGACUCCAAGAAGUCGGAAUCGCUAGUAAUCGUAGAUCAGAAUGCUACGGUGAAUACGUUCCCGGGCCU